UCAAGCAACUAAGCGCAUACGGUGGAUGCCUUGGCAGUCAGAGGCGAUGAAAGACGUGGAAGCCUGCGAUAAGGUUCGGGGAGCUGGCAAACAAGCUGUGAUCCGGGCAUUUCUGAAUGGGGAAACCCACCGACUUUCGGGUCGGUAUCUUACACUGAAUCCAUAGGUGUAAGAGGCGAACCGGGGGAACUGAAACAUCUAAGUACCCCGAGGAAAAGAAAUCAACCGAGAUUCCCUAAGUAGCGGCGAGCGAACGGGGAUUAGCCCUUAAGCUAGACAACUGGUAGGAGAAGGCUCUGGAAAGUGCCGCCAUAGUGGGUGAUAGCCCCGUAUCCGAAACCUGAGUCUGGUGAAAUCGAGUAGGACGGGACACGUGAUAUCCUGUCUGAACAUGGGGGGACCAUCCUCCAAGGCUAAAUACUCCUGACUGACCGAUAGUGAACCAGUACCGUGAGGGAAAGGCGAAAAGAACCCCUGUGAGGGGAGUGAAAUAGAUCCUGAAACCGUAUGCGUACAAGCAGUCGGAGCGGACUUGUUCCGUGACGGCGUACCUUUUGUAUAAUGGGUCAGCGACUUAUGUUCAGUGGCGAGGUUAACCGUUUAGGGGAGCCGUAGGGAAACCGAGUCUGAAUAGGGCGAUUUAGUCGCUGGGCAUAGACCCGAAACCGGGCGAUCUAUCCAUGAGCAGGUUGAAGGUGCCGUAACAGGCACUGGAGGACCGAACCCACUGUCGUUGAAAAGCCAGGGGAUGACUUGUGGAUCGGAGUGAAAGGCUAAUCAAGCCCGGAGAUAGCUGGUUCUCCUCGAAAUCUAUUUAGGUAGAGCCUCUCGUAUUACCACCGGGGGUAGAGCACUGUUUGGGCUAGGGGGUCAUCCCGACUUACCAACCCGAUGCAAACUCCGAAUACCUGUGAGUACUAUCCGGGAGACACACGGCGGGUGCUAACGUCCGUCGUGAAGAGGGAAACAACCCAGACCGCCAGCUAAGGUCCCCAAGUACCAGUUAAGUGGGAAACGAUGUGGGAAGGCUCAGACAGCUAGGAGGUUGGCUUAGAAGCAGCCACCCUUUAAAGAAAGCGUAAUAGCUCACUGGUCGAGUCGGCCUGCGCGGAAGAUGUAACGGGGCUAAACUGGUAACCGAAGCUGUGGAUGCGUGUUUACACGCAUGGUAGAGGAGCGUUCUGUACGCUGUUGAAGGUGAAUCGAGAGGUUUGCUGGAGGUAUCAGAAGUGCGAAUGCUGACAUGAG
This 1248-nucleotide ribosomal RNA is filed under the name uncultured Chlorophyceae. RNAcentral's name for it is "partial Bacterial large subunit ribosomal RNA". It matches the Rfam family "Bacterial large subunit ribosomal RNA", at positions 3 to 1306 of the family's 2925-position model. The record is from RNAcentral. Lineage: Eukaryota; Viridiplantae; Chlorophyta; Chlorophyceae.